Silurus meridionalis is the source of this 5756-nucleotide RNA transcript. It is a transcript of the gene named mitochondrial ribosomal protein L38, with no coding region annotated. The record is from RefSeq and is a predicted model, not a curated record. The transcript is spliced from 8 exons. NCBI's taxonomy places the organism in Eukaryota, Metazoa, Chordata, Actinopteri, Siluriformes, Siluridae.
UCGGUGACGUAGUACGCAGAAACCAUCUAGUUGUGUGUGCCUCGUCACUCCUCAUGAGCGUAUUCCAAGAUGGCGCUACAGAGGACGGCGGCGCGGUUGAUGCGCAUCGGGACAGAUUUAGGGUCCAGGAAUAGCGCAAAACAUUUUCAAACAGCAUCCGUAUUGUGUCGCCGGACUGCGCCACUCGGUGAAAUGCCAAAUGAAGACAUAGACUUAAAAAACCUGGACUCGGUGGAUAAAUACGGCAGUUACACCCGCUACCUGAGAUUUGCAGAGGAAACCAAUAAUAAAGAGGUCUGGUGGAAGACCUACAGGAAAUAUGUGGAGCAGAAAGCUGACCAAGACUUUGAGCCGGUGGACAUUGGCUUGCCUUACUGCCGGCCCUCCAGGGUAAAGGAAGUUCGGGAAAGAAGAAAGAUCAUAAAGGAAAACAAAAAGAACCCAGAGCUGGAGAGAGACGCUCGUCUACUCACGUUUCGCAUUGCUCUGGACCAAGUGAAGCAGGAAUGGGAGAAAACGAAUGGUCCUUACCACAUACAGAGGCUGGCAGAGCACUAUGGAAUAUACAGAGACCUUUUUCCAAUGGCUUAUUUUGUUCCAAGGGUAAUGCUGAGGGUGUCAUAUGCUGACGACAGCAGUGCCACGGUGCAUUACGGCAAUCAUUUAUCACCUAGUCAGGCUUCAUCAGCACCUCGUGUUAGCUUUGAGGCAGAUGAGAAUUCUCUUUGGACGUUGCUGCUAACAAGCCCAGAUGAACAUUUGCAGGAUGGUGAGCAGGAAUAUGUACAUUGGCUUAUCGGUAAUAUUCCUGCCAGUGCCAUGUGUUCUGGUAAUGAGAUUGUUCCCUACGUAGCCCCAUUUCCUGCCAAGGGAACAGGAUUUCACAGAUACGUUUUCAUCCUCUUCAAGCAGGAUGCAGUUGUUGACUUUAGCAGUGAGAUGAGAUUGAACCCCUGGUAAGUGAUGGCGGAUUUGAAUGCAUUCCGAGAGAGUUUACAGAUGGAUGGAGAGAGUGACAGUAGUAAACAUUUUUAUGUAAAUGUUUAUGUAUUGAAUAUGUUCCCUGAUGGUCUAGUGGUUAGGAUGCGGCGCUCUCACCUUCAGCUUUAUAAACUUAUUGCGUCUCAUGAUUAUACUUAAUAUCUCCGAAUCAUAGCUUCUGCAACCUUCACAGAAACUCUUGACCUGUUAUUCAGUGAAGAAGCAGAGAUAUCACUGUGAUAUGUUGUACCUAAUUACAGAACCAAUGUCAUCUCGUAACACACCAACAUCUUUUAGCGCACACACCGCAGGUAUGUCAGAUUAGGGUUUAUACUGCUGGAUGUGGGAUCAAAAAUGAGAUCAUUUUAUAUAAUCUUUUUAAUCAUUUGUGUAGGAAAAAGCUUUAGAAAAGUGCGAAUGUUUUUUAAAUAAUUGUGGGUAUUUUGGGCAUGUACAGGAACUGUGUAUAGGUUCUUAAGUCAAUUAAAUAAGCUUCAGUAACAGUAUUUAGUUACACCAUUUUUUUUUUUUGGUUUUCUUGAUCUGAACAGUGAUCAAAAUCACUUUUUCUCAACACUGCCUGUCGUAGGCGACUUUCAUGACCUAAUGAUUGUGGGAAUAAUCCGAAUUCGGGGGGUAUAAUGUCUAUACGACAGAAGGUGAUCCUGUCUAGGGGGCAGAUGAUGAGAUAAUUCCUUACAAUGAUCUAAGAGUUUAUACAACCACAGCCUCACAAUCCAAACACACAUGUCUUCGUUUGCGUGCUCCAGGAAAAUGCUCCUUUCCUGUUUUCCACUUUCCCAGUCCUUUUGUUAUAUCGUACCAUAACUGAAAGUGCCCACAUCAAUUAUAUAUAAUAAAAAAAAAUAGCAAGGGGCCACCAUGCAGUUAUGCCGCAGUAGCUACUCUGUUCAUGUUAUUAACCUCUGCUUUCUCUGCGUAGUCCUUUACCACAUCCCCUUCUCUCAAUGGCAGGAUAUUACAGUGACUACCGUAGUGUAGGCGAAGAAAAAAACAUACAGGACAUCCUUUAACGUCUUACAAUUAUGAACAGGAUGGAGAAAGAGUACAAUUUUUAUUUUUUUAUAGGUCAUUCCCCUGGGGAUUUACAAGUGUCCACUAUGUUUCAGACACAGCUGAAAUAUGCAUGCCCUUAUAUUGAUACCACAUUAGGCCGGAUUGCUUGGCAUGUAUAAUUUAAUGGGACAGCACACAAAAUAAAAUUUUGGCAUUCAUUUACAGUAAAUUGUAAAAACACACUUGUCCCUGGGCAUCAUUGAUUUUUUCGUUUUUUUUAUCCACACUCAUAUUGUUUCUUUGCCAUCAGAUUGUAUGCCCCCAAUGACCUAAAUGACCUUAGAGACUGAGUGGCAGGAAAAUACAGCCCUUUCAUUGUCAGCUUUACAAAGGCUUGCUGUUGCUUGUUGUACACUUGCGCCAAAAUGAGUAAUGCAAUUUGCAAUGUGACCAGUUCACUUGACGUGGGGGAGUGGAAAACCCUACCGGAUACACUGACCAGACUGUGACCGAAAUAAUUUUUAUGUUCUAGUGGGUCACAUCCAAGUUUUUCCAACAUGCCUUUCAUGUCCUUCACACUUUGUCAACUCAUGCAUGUCCAUUUCAGCCGAUGGUGUUUGAAGUCAUGUGCUUGAUUAAUUUUUUUAAUUCUUGGACGUGGCUGAAGGUGUAUUUGGUGGGGUUUUCCCCUGCCUUAUGUCUUGCGAACUCUGGCGCAAAUUCUUAAUGAUUUACAGCUUGAAAAGCCUGGGGACAAAUUGCCUCCAUCCAAAGAACAUUGAUACAAAACCGAUAACAGGAUUGAAAACGUCAUCACGGUAAUUUAUACUCAGUUCUCCCUAUUGAAUUCACUAAAUACGAAAAAAAAAAAAAGUCACAUAUAUUUAGAGACAGUAAACAGUAAAUGGGGCCCAAAUUGCCCCGAAGGAUAACAGGGUUAAUAAUAAAUGCACAGUGUAUAAUAUUAUAUAAUAUAAUAGAAACUCAGCCAUUAGGGCUGCACAAGCCAGUGCUCUCUUAGCCCGGAUAAAUAGGGAGGGUUGUGUUAGGAAGGGCAUCCAGCGUAAAACAUGCCAAAUCAAAUAUGCGGGUUACGAAGCAGAAAUUACAGGGGGGUAUGGAAACAGAUGAUCCGCUGUGGUGACCACUAAUGAGACAGCCGAAAGAAGAAGAUAAUUAUAUAAUAGAAAGUUUGAACGAUCUUUUUGAAAAGUAGACUGUGGACUUUUCGAGGCCUGUUUGCAAAAUGUUUUAUUGUUAUUGUCUUACAAUGGAAACUUUACAGUAACAGUAUAACACAUCACAAAAUUGCUGAGACAAUAGCGCCACUCGAACACUCGAGUUGUAGUCUGGUCAACUAUCUUUGAUGUACUUAAUAUACAUGGCCCUUCAUUUGCAUAUAUGAUAAAUUGUCCGGUCUUUGCAGUUUUUAACCGGAUUUCAAUUCAUUUCCCAAACAUUGCAUGUACAAGGCCGAUUAAAUUUGCUGGACUCAGAAUGUUCGCUUUGUGUAUGCAGUGAUGUAAAUGAGAAAAUGAUUGGCGAUGACCUAACAGCAUUAUGUGCAGAAAACUAUAUAUUAUGAUUACUAUAUGCUAUAGAAAAACUAAUAUUGCACUACAUUAUUUUACAUUACAAAUAGCACUUCUCUGCCAGACAGUGGAAUCACACACAUCAUGCGUUAGUUAGAUGAAUUUGAAGGGAGCUCAGUGGUUAAAGCUCUGGGUUACUGAGUGGAAGGUCAGGGGGUUUAAGGUCAGGGGGUCAUCGCCAAGCUGCCACCUUUGGGCCCUUGAGCAAGGCCGUUAACCCUCUGUGCUCCAGUGGUGCUGUAUCAUGGCUGACCCUGCGCUCUGACUCCAGCUUUCUAACAUUGCUGGGAUGUGCAAAGAAAGAAUUUCACCAUGCUGUAAUGUACAUGUAACAAAUAAAAAGCUACCUUUACUUUAGUUCUCCACCUUGCCAAAUUACCCUGUUAGCUUUGCAAGACUCUGAUAGAAAUGCCACGGAUACACUCUAUCGACAAAAGUAUUUGGACGCCUGAAUUUUUUAGUCAUUUAUGGUUCUUUCUAAAGCUGUUAUCACAACCUUGGUGGCACAUGAUUAUAUAGGAUGUUUUCGGAUGCGGUAGCAUAUUUUUCCUUCACUUGUGGUUGGAACGCUGACUGUACAGCAGGCAAGAUUCUCCACAACCACACUCCUAAAUGUAGUGGGGAUUAUUAUAACAGCAAAUUAGGUCUAAAUGUGGAAUGGACUGUUCAAAAUGGGCAUAUGAAUUAUAUGGUCAGGUGUCCAAACUUUUGUUAAUAGAAUGUACGCUGAUUAUGAGGUGCACAAUCACCGUUAUGAUUUAAUAUCUCUGACUGGAAAUGCUUUCAGUAGUGUAGAAGCCUAUUGCCUAUUCAGAUUUUUUUUACUUUUUAAAAUUUUGCAAUAUUAAUGUUCAAUAUCUUAUAUAUGUUUAUAUCUUAUAUUUCUCCCCAUCCGCUGCUAAGUAAAAUAAAUAUUAAAUUGACUUAUGAUUCCCUUAUUUGUAAGCCAAAAGCACACUGGAACCGAACCCCCUAGCUAGUCUCCUGUAGUAUAGCAUAAAACAUAGAUUUAUUUUGUAUGGAAUAAAACCACACCUUUUGUUCAUUUAUGUGCGUUUCUUCUUCACAGUGUAUGGUAUUCUGAGCGUUAUUAGCAAAAUAACAGGACUGUUGUAUUAAUCUCAUAUUAUACAAACAUCCUUUAGCACACACAUUAGGUAGAAGAAUAGCGUUUAUUUGUCACAUGUACAUUACAGCACAGUGAAAUUCCCUGGAGCAAAGAGUGUUAAGGGCCUUGUUUAGGGGCCCAAGAGCGGCAGCUUGGCGAUACCGGGGCUUGAACCCUCUACCAUCUGAUUAGUAUCCUUAAGUAGUAGUAGCCUUAACCACUAAGCUACCACUCUCCCCAUACACCGACCGAUACAGGCAUAACUUUAUGGUGAAAAAUUUGCUUGAGGUUGUGGUUUCUCAGGAAAAAGAAGAAUAUGUAUAUUUUUCAGUGGCAGGCCGUGCAUCCCACUCCACCAAAAUAAGAAUCAGUCCAUUUCUUAAUACAUUCAUUAUGAUGCCACAGCUAUAUAAACCAUCAAUAGUAUGCAGAAAUAGAGUAUAACAGAACGCUGCAUUACAGACAGGUAUCUCUGACCAUCCAAUCAAAUUACAAGAAAAUGCAGAUGUUAUUUUACACCUGAUGGCCCUGGUGCCGGCAACUCGAAAUCCGAUUGGUUAACACAGCAGCUUCAAGAAAUGUCAUUUACUCAACAGGCACCUGCAUAGUUAAUUCUGAAGGCUUCAAGGCAGAGUUAUUUGACUCUGGCAGUAGGUGAUUGCUGAUAUCUGAUUGGAUAAAAUAACUCCAACGUAAACAGACUAGAAGCGGUGCAACCGAGAAAAAAAACCUAAAUUGACGAUAAACUAUUGGGAAUAAUUAAAAACAUAUUCAUUGACAAAAAUAUAUUAACAUAAGCCAGUGAUUCUUCUCAUAUUUAGGCACCCAGAGAAGGAAGGCCUUAAUGGCCCUGACGGACUGCCACUGAUAUUUUCUUAUGGAACAGAAUGACUGAGUAUGACACUUCAUUUUCAAGUGCUGGCUGUCAUCUGGCCAUUAGGUGUCAUCUUUCCUGUGUGCAAGAAACCCAAAGCAUCUGGAAGCUUUUACAGUAAAUCUUUCGACUGUAAUUAAUUCUCAACCUUAAACAUGCAUCAUUUAAUAAAAUAAUAAACAAA